RNAcentral lists this ribosomal RNA (253 nucleotides) under uncultured bacterium. RNAcentral's name for it is "partial 16S ribosomal RNA". It matches the Rfam family "Bacterial small subunit ribosomal RNA", at positions 524 to 776 of the family's 1533-position model. The record is from RNAcentral.
UACGGGGGGGGCAAGCGUUGUUCGGAAUUACUGGGCGUAAAGGGCCCGUAGGCGGCCAACUAAGUCGGAUGUGAAAUCCCCAGGCUCAACCUGGGAGCUGCAUCCGAUACUGGAUGGCUUGAAUCCGGGAGAGGGAUGCAGAAUUCCAGGUGUAGCGGUGAAAUGCGUAGAUAUCUGGAGGAAUACCGGUGGCGAAGGCGGCAUCCUGGACCGGCAUUGACGCUGAGGAGCGAAAGCUAGGGGAGCAAACGGG